Dioscorea cayenensis subsp. rotundata (Guinea yam) is the source of this 276-nucleotide long non-coding RNA. RefSeq lists it as uncharacterized. The transcript is spliced from 3 exons. The record is from RefSeq and is a predicted model, not a curated record. Lineage: Eukaryota; Viridiplantae; Streptophyta; Magnoliopsida; Dioscoreales; Dioscoreaceae.
CGGCAAGGUUUUUUUCGGCGAAUCAACGCUCCUAUUCUAUUCCUCUCAUUCUCUUGAGCUUCAUAAGGCUUCAAUUCAAGGUGGUGAGGCAUCUUCCAAGGGGAAUUAAAAUGCCGACCAGUGAGUGCGUCUCGAGUCCGACACUGCAGUGUGGGGUUCCACUGUCCGACCUGAUUGGAGGCGGCGUAGUCAACCUUGAGUUUACCCUGAUCAACAGGUGUGCAGAGCCAUUAAUAGGGGGGUCUUUUAUGUAAGAAACCCGGGGUCACCAUACGG